UACGAGGGGGGCAAGCGUUGUUCGGAAUUACUGGGCGUAAAGCGCACGUAGGCGGCUUCUUAAGUCGGUGGUGAAAUCCUGGAGCUCAACUCCAGAACUGCCUUCGAUACUGGGAAGCUCGAGUCCGGGAGAGGUGAGUGGAACUGCGAGUGUAGAGGUGAAAUUCGUAGAUAUUCGCAAGAACACCAGUGGCGAAGGCGGCUCACUGGCCCGGUACUGACGCUGAGGUGCGAAAGUGUGGGGAGCAAACAGG
RNAcentral lists this ribosomal RNA (253 nucleotides) under uncultured bacterium. Its description in RNAcentral is "partial 16S ribosomal RNA". It matches the Rfam family "Bacterial small subunit ribosomal RNA", at positions 524 to 776 of the family's 1533-position model. The record is from RNAcentral.